RNAcentral lists this long non-coding RNA (372 nucleotides) under Capsella rubella. Its description in RNAcentral is "long non-coding RNA (CRUB_LNC000315)". Lineage: Eukaryota; Viridiplantae; Streptophyta; Magnoliopsida; Brassicales; Brassicaceae. The record is from RNAcentral.
UGUUGUUUAGGGUUAGAAUAUGAUAUAAUACAAUAAAUUUGAUUGAUUACAAGUGCUAGAGAUGCAUGAAGAGUGUUUAGAAGUGUGGAGAAAGACUUGUUGAAAUUGGAUCCCAAAUGGGCUAAGAACUUGGAAACAUUGCGUUGAACCACGAAAUGACUUAUCUAGUGCUUUUUCUGGUUAUAAUAUGUAAGGAUACAAUAAAUUUGAUUGAUUACAAAUGCUAGAGAUGCAUGAAGAGUGUUUAGAAGUGUGGAGAAAGACUUGUUGAAAUUGGGUCCCAAAUGGGCUAGGAACUCGGAAACAUUGCGUUAAACCACUAAAUGACUUAUCUAGUGUUGUUUGGGGAUAUAAUAUGAUAGAAUAGAAUAA